This is a long non-coding RNA of Sycon ciliatum, 1732 nucleotides long. RefSeq lists it as uncharacterized. Lineage: Eukaryota; Metazoa; Porifera; Calcarea; Leucosolenida; Sycettidae. The transcript is spliced from 5 exons. The record is from RefSeq and is a predicted model, not a curated record.
UUUCUCUUUUGUUUCAAACGUCUUCUAGUGUUGUUGAACAGUCCCUCUGACCUACCUUUGUUAGUCGUGCAUUAUCCUUUCUAGUCAUUGUUACUCUUUCUCUCAACUACUAAUCAGUCUGUAGUGGCUACAACGCUCUCUCAGAGAGUAACAAGUUCAGCACAACGCUCUCUCAAUGAAUAACAAGUUCUGCACAACGCUCUCUCAGUGAAUAACAAGUUCAGCAUAAUGCUCUCUCAGUGAAUAACAAGUUCAGCAUAACGCUCUCCUUAUCUCAACGACCUACUUAUUCCAGUCAGCCCACUCAGCCAACGUUUGAAGAAGAUCUUUAAAGGAACGGACAACUCUCUCAACAUGUCCAGUCAAGAAGUCGAAGGCUUUUCUCAGGAGGUACGGCGACGGGGUGCCACACUGGAAAGUCUUCAGGCUGCUGUGCCUCCUGAGCAGCCGCAAUUGUCCUCCACAUCACGUAAAGUGACAUGGAAACCACCAUCAUACCCACGGACACGCUGCUACUCAAUGGGAACAAUGCUCAUUCUUGUGAUCUGCUUUGAGGGUCAGCAUCUUCGUGAUGACAUCCUCUACACUAUUGUACACUACAUAUUUAGUGUACAUAGUGUAGAGAUGGAUGAGCAAGACGAAACUCAAUUCGACCGGACACUACUGCACCUCUGUGCAAUGCGUGGAAAUGAUCGACUAGCAAAUAUUCUCAUCGGACGUGGAGCUGAUGUCAAUGCGCAGGACAGCAGCUGGGUAAGAACUAGUGAUAGUUUAGAGUCUGGUUGUCUCAACUGAAUUCUCAGUUUGUAUGAUCCUACAUGUCUAUCUGUCUGUCUGUAAGACAAUCUGUUCAUUGCUUCUGCAUGUGUGUCCUUCCAUUUGUAUGUCCACGUGUGUAUGUACAUCUGCAUGUGUGUACAUGUAUGUGCAUGACGAUGUGUGUGUGCAUGUGCGUGUGUAUGUGUAUGUGCGCCCGUGCGUAUGUGUGUGAGUGUGUGCGAGCGCACAUGUGAGUGUGUGCGAGCGCACAUGUGAGUGUGUGUGUGUGUGUGUGUGUGUGUAUGUGUGUGUGUGUUGAUGCGUUUGUUCUAGUUGUCCAGGUCUGUGUCGGUGUGUGGUUGUAGUAGUUAGUGUAAUGGUUGUAUAGCAAUACUCAUCACAUUCUCUCUUUCUCUACAGUUCCGACGGACUCCACUUCACGAGGCAGUCCGCUGGAACAAGAUCAACGUUGUCAAGGUGAUGCUGUCACAUGACAGUGACGGUGUCACCUUGGAUACCACACUGCGUGACGGUGGAGGGAGAACAGCGUUGGACCUAGCCCUGGAACGCAAUUAUGAGGGAUGUGUGCAGUUGCUGGUGGAUCACGAGAGUGCGAAGGUAUGUACAGUAGGCUUGACUGUGAGUGACUGAAUUUAGAUGUACUGUGUGUCUACAGUAAAUAUUACAGCGUGUCGUACAUUUGAUUGGUUGAACUAUGCAGUGACUAGGUGUCACGUGAGUCACGUGAGGUGCACCUCCCACCACCAUGUCCUACAUUUGUACAGCUGUCCAUGAGAUCAAGAGUACAUAAACACGAGAGUGUGUAACUCCGCUUGGUCUGGCCAUGGCGGAAUGUUUUGUUUUGUUGACCUUUCUGGAGAUGAUGAGUCAUACCGUACGGGGCAUGUACUACGAGUCUGUGGGCGCGUGAGCUUGUACAGUUUUCAUUAGGGGUCGUCGCAAAAGUUUUUGU